GGCGAGGUGGCCGAGUCUGGUUUAUGGCAGCGGUCUUGAAAACCGCCGUGCGCGAGGAGCGCACCGUGGGUUCGAAUCCCACCCUCGCCGCCA
Molecule: transfer RNA, 93 nt
Filed under: Parabacteroides johnsonii
Lineage: Bacteria; Pseudomonadati; Bacteroidota; Bacteroidia; Bacteroidales; Tannerellaceae
Also listed under: 2 other names
Description: tRNA-Ser
Rfam family: tRNA
About the family: Transfer RNA (tRNA) molecules are approximately 80 nucleotides in length. Their secondary structure includes four short double-helical elements and three loops (D, anti-codon, and T loops).
Source: RNAcentral